RNAcentral lists this small RNA (666 nucleotides) under Arabidopsis thaliana (thale cress). RNAcentral's name for it is "ATSL029600". Lineage: Eukaryota; Viridiplantae; Streptophyta; Magnoliopsida; Brassicales; Brassicaceae. The record is from RNAcentral.
UUUUAUGUACAAGGUAAUAAUGAACAUUGAAAAUUAAAAUAAAGUAUAUACAAUGCAUAAGGUAUAUAUGGAGAGCUAAAAAAUGUGAUUCAACUUUGAGUCUUAUGCAUGAUGAUUUUAAAGCGACUAUUAAUCUUUCGUUUCAUCACUUUGCCUUUCGACUUUUUUUUUCUUUUAAGUUUUUCUUUUUCCUUCUCUCUAAAAGAUAUUCUCUCUUUAUUACUCGAGGAAUUAGGUUCUUAAUGGAAAAGGCAUAUCGGGCGGAGCAGAUCAUGCAGAACAGGUGGAUAAUACAUCUCAACAAUAACCUAAGCUUAUCAAACGGAUCUGACGGUACAUAGGCAUGGCCACGGUUACGGUUACGAUUUAUUAACCACCGGUUACGGUUACAAAUUUUCUUUAACCUUAACCGCUGAAUAUACGGUUAAAAUGGUUACGGUUGAAUACGAUUACGUUUAAAUACAGUUACGGUUAUUAGAUAAUUAUAAUACUAUAUGAAGCAAAAUAUUAUAUUUUCUUAAAUAAUAUUUUUUAAAAGAAUAAUUAUAUAAACUAUUUUUUACAACAAAUAAAUAAACUACGAAAUGAUUAAGGUACUAUUUAAGUGAAAUAAUUAUGCAAUUAGAAAAAUGAAGUAACCAAAAAAUUCAUAUUUAUUAAUUAUUA